GGAUUAGAUACCCUGGUAGUCCACGCCGUAAACGAUGUCGACUAGCCGUUGGGGAACUUGAGUCCUUGGUGGCGCAGUUAACGCGAUAAGUCGACCGCCUGGGGAGUACGGCCGCAAGGUUAAAACUCAAAUGAAUUGACGGGGGCCCGCACAAGCGGUGGAGCAUGUGGUUUAAUUCGAUGCAACGCGAAGAACCUUACCAGGCCUUGACAUCCUUGGAAUUGGGCAGAGAUGCCCGAGUGCCUUCGGGAAUCAAGUGACAGGUGCUGCAUGGCUGUCGUCAGCUCGUGCCG
This 293-nucleotide ribosomal RNA is filed under the name uncultured bacterium. Its description in RNAcentral is "partial 16S ribosomal RNA". It matches the Rfam family "Bacterial small subunit ribosomal RNA", at positions 775 to 1067 of the family's 1533-position model. The record is from RNAcentral.